GACGAACGCUGGCGGCGUGCUUAACACAUGCAAGUCGAACGAAGAGCGAUGGUAGCUUGUUUGUAUCACUCUGAGUGGCGAAUGGGUGAGUAACGCGUAAUCAACCUGCCCUUCAGGGGGGGACAACAGUUGGAAACGACUGCUCAUACCGCAUCCGAUCCAACCUCGGCAUCGGGGAAAGAUGAAAGGUGGCCUCUAUGUAUAAGCCAUCACUCAAGGAGGGGAUUGCGUCGGAUUAGCUAGUUGGAGGGGUAACGGCCCACCAAGGCGAUGAUGAGUAGCCGGUCUGAGAGGAUGAACGGCCACAUUGGGACUGAGACACGGCCCAGACUCCUACGGGAGGCAGCAGUGGGGAAUCUUCCGCAAUGGACGAAAGUCUGACGGAGCAACGCCGCGUGAGUGAUGACGGCCGUCGGGUUGUAAAGCUCGGUUAAUCGGGACGAAAGGCCUUCUUGCGAAUAGUGAGAAGGAUUGACGGUACCGGAAUAGAAAGCCACGGCUAACUACGUG
Molecule: ribosomal RNA, 510 nt
Filed under: uncultured bacterium
Lineage: Bacteria
Description: partial 16S ribosomal RNA
Rfam family: Bacterial small subunit ribosomal RNA
Source: RNAcentral